AACGAACGCUGGCGGCAGGCUUAACACAUGCAAGUCGAGCGAAGACUUCGGUCUUAGCGGCGGACGGGUGAGUAACGCGUGGGAACAUACCCUAAGGUACGGAAUAGUCCUGGGAAACUGGGGGUAAUACCGUAUGUGCCCUUCGGGGGAAAGAUUUAUCGCCUUAGGAUUGGCCCGCGUUGGAUUAGGUAGUUGGUGGGGUAAUGGCCUACCAAGCCGACGAUCCAUAGCUGGUUUGAGAGGAUGAUCAGCCACACUGGGACUGAGACACGGCCCAGACUCCUACGGGAGGCAGCAGUGGGGAAUCUUAGACAAUGGGCGCAAGCCUGAUCUAGCCAUGCCGCGUGAGUGAGGAAGGUCUUAGGAUCGUAAAGCUCUUUCGCUGGGGAAGAUAAUGACGGUACCCAGUAAAGAAACCCCGGCUAACUCCGUGCCAGCAGCCGCGGUAAUACGGAGGGGGUUAGCGUUGUUCGGAAUUACUGGGCGUAAAGCGCACGUAGGCGGAUUAGCAAGUUAGGGGUGAAAUCCCGGGGCUCAACCCCGGAACUGCCCUUAAAACUGUUAGUCUAGAGUUCUGGAGAGGUGAGUGGAAUUCCGAGUGUAGAGGUGAAAUUCGUAGAUAUUCGGAGGAACACCAGUGGCGAAGGCGGCUCACUGGCCAGAUACUGACGCUGAGGUGCGAAAGUGUGGGGAGCAAACAGG
This 702-nucleotide ribosomal RNA is filed under the name uncultured bacterium. RNAcentral describes it as "bacterial SSU rRNA". It matches the Rfam family "Bacterial small subunit ribosomal RNA", at positions 28 to 776 of the family's 1533-position model. The record is from RNAcentral.